This 497-nucleotide ribosomal RNA is filed under the name uncultured bacterium. RNAcentral's name for it is "partial 16S ribosomal RNA". It matches the Rfam family "Bacterial small subunit ribosomal RNA", at positions 28 to 507 of the family's 1533-position model. The record is from RNAcentral.
GAUGAACGCUGGCGGCGUGCCUAAUACAUGCAAGUCGAGCGAACGGACGAGAAUCUUGCUUCUCUGAUGUUAGCGGCGGACGGGUGAGUCACACGUGGAUAACCUACCUAUUAGACUUGGAUAACUUCGGGAAACCGUAGCUAAUACCGGAUACUAUUUUUAACCUCAUGGUUCAAAAGUUAAAUACGUUCUUGCUGUCACUUCUAGAUGUAUCCUCGCUGCAUUAGCUAUUUGGUACGGUAACGGCUUACCAAGGCCACGAUGCAUAGCCGACCUGAGAGAGGGAUAGGCCACACGAGAAGGGAGACACGGACAAGACGACUAAGAGAGGCAGCAGUAGGGAAUCGUACGCAAUGGGCGAAAGCAUGACGGAGCAACGGCGAGUGAGUGAUGAAGGUCUUGGGAUCGUAAAAAUCUGUUAUGAGGGAAGAACAUAUGUGGAAGUAAAUGUGGACAUCGUGACGGUACCUAAACAGAAAGCAACGGCUAACUACGUG